UUGGAACACUGUUUCCAUUUACUAAAAGUAUGUGAAUAUUGAGGACAUGUUGAACAUGUCGAAUAAAUGUGAAAAGUAUUAAAAUACAACUAUGUAUGAAUUUGUAUGACAUAUUGUAUGUGCAUUGGGAUGAGAUUUUAUAGUUGAUGGAGGAGUUCCAUAGAGUACCAGCGACAUAUUAAGUCCGCAUAUUUACAUAGUAAGUGCACUAAAUUUAGAGUAUUGAGGGGAUUGGCGAUUAUAUCGCAUUAUUUGUUAUUUGGUAGUUUCACUACAUUAUUGAUUGUAAUAGCCUAUCUCGCCCGGGCCCAUAAAGCUAUCCAAAAAAAUAAAUAAAAUAAAUCAAAGCAACAUUAAUAAAUUAAAAGUCCAAGUCUUUUUACAAAAAUAAAGGCUAACUAUUAAGCCCAAAUUGCCUAGCCCGGUUGUUAAGAGUAACCCAAUUAACAAAACAAAUUCUAGCCCAUUUGAAACACGGCCCAAUCACAAGACUGGCCCAAAUGUCUGAAGUCUGGUUUCAGAGGCCGAAAACCUAGUCAUUCGCCUUGCACCGCAGCUAGCAGUCGGUCUCCAGCACCACAUGUGUGCCACUAGUUCCUCGCGCGCGCCUUCGCUCGUGUCUUUGUACGACUACUCCUGCAAUGGAACACAUGAGAAGAAGGAGCUAACCGAAUUUACAGCAAAUGGCAGCAAGAAAAUGUAAUUUUAUUUUUUAUUUACUCUGUAAAUCCGACUACAAAAAGCCGUCGAAUGUACCUGCAAAUACUUACGCGCAGUAAAUAUCAGAAAAAGCAUUUCGAAAGGAAAUUUUUAAAGGUGAUUUUCUGCUUUCUAGUUUCUUUAGUUCUUCGUCGAAUCAUCUCAUUUUCUUUUUCGAUUUUUCACUAUUGUAUUUAAAAAAUAAAAGAGAAAGAGAAAGGCGAGGUCUUCCCUUGCGAAUCUGCCAUAGAUUCCUCUUGGCUUUGUUGAAAUUGAAGUUGAAAGAGGAAUCACAAGGCAUCAAAUCAUCUUUUCAAGAGUACGCCGUUCGCUGAUUGUAGUGGCCGAUCGGUGUUGGAGCGAAGGGGAAGUUAGGGUUCGGCUGCAAAGUGAAAGGGAAAGGGAUUUGGUUUUCUUAUUUUUGUUUCUAAAUGGUUGAGUGUGUUAAUUUUAGGUUUUUUAGUGUUAAUUAGGUGUAUAAAACGACACCGUUUAGGGCCUAUGCCAAUGGCCCCAAAAUGAAGCCGGUUUAAGCCGACCCGCAUCGAUCCGACCCGAUCGCCCCUAGGAUCCGUGCGUUUCUGCGAAGAGGAGAUAAUUGCACAUAGGUCCUCCCCUUUCGCACAAGUCUGUAAUUGCGCCAUAUGCAUUUUGUUUCGUUUUUUUAAAUUUGGUUUUGUAAUUUGUGCUUAUUUGCGAUUGGGUCCACGCCUCAACAAAGUGUUUUGGGUUCUGGAGUAAAUCCAGCUUUAGUCUCUGUGCAUUUGCGUACAUUGCGCGCUGGUCCCUAUUUAGGGUUUCUUUUAUUUAUAAAUUAUCCGUUUUAUUUUAGUUCAAUUUUAAUUUGGUUUUUUUGUUAUUUGUAUAACUUACUAAUUUAAAAUACAUUUAAUACUUUUAUAGGUGUUGAUCCACUUUAAUGCUUUUGUUUGUUCUUAUUUGCACAAUUAUUUUGAAGUUUCUUUAUCAUAUUAUUUUUACAUUUUGCACAAUAUUUCUUUAAAUAUUUUAUACAUAUUUGUACAUAUAUUAUUUUCAUUGAUUUUUCAAUUUGUAAUGCCUAUUAUUUUGAAGUUCACAAUAUUUUUAUACAUGUGUUGAGCUAUCUUAAUAACUUUAUUUUUGUUUUGUAAAAUCAUUGUUUUAAAAUUCUUGUUACAUUAAACUGUUUUAACACUUUUAUAUAACAUUUUGUUUAAGUAUUUUUAUAUAUAUUGAUACAUAUAUUAUUUUAAUAGAGUUUUCUAUGUCAAAUACUUCUUGCUUUAUGUCACCUAAUAUUUUUAUAUGAAGCUAUUUUAGGAACUUCAUUUUUGUGUUUAUAAAAUUAUUAUUAAGGAAUUCUUCUUUAUAUUAUAUUAUUCUAAUAUUUUAUGUAGUAUCUCAUUUAAAUGCUUUCAUGUAUAUUGGCACAUAUAUAAUUUAUAGAUUAACUUAAUUUUAUAUGCAUUAUUGAUUUCAUGCUAUUUUUACAAAUAAUUAUUUCUAAAUCUAUUUAGAUAUAUAUAUGUUUUGUAAACCUAUUGUAGGAACCCAUUUUUGUCCGGGCCCGUGAAAUGAAAUAAAAAAAAAUUUAUAAACCAAAUUAAAUAAAUAAAGUGUCCCUGUUAAUGUCCAAUUUACAAUAAACAGGCCUAAAGGCCUGAUAACCCAAAACUCGAUUACAUUUUACAGCCCAAUUAGUCUAAACCAAAAUACCCAUUAACCCAAUACCCUUUUUCACUCGUGACCUAAGCAACUACCCGGUUACACCCAUUAAACCUCCUAACCCAAAAAAUAAACACGGCCCAAAGGGCCCAAACCAUUAAUAGAAUCAGAGGACCUAGGGUUUUCUGAAACCCUAGGUGCCGCAAGCACCCCUACACCAGGCCUCAUCUCGCGCCGCAAUCGACGUGCCAAUCCCUCGUCACCUGGUCUUCACUCGCCUGCAAAAGGAAAGAAACAACAGAGACAAUACAAAUAUAGCAAGAAAUAAAAUCAAAUAUUGUAAAUAUUAUUUAUGUUGAUUUUCGGUGGCUAUAAAAGCCCGAAUCGAAACGAUGUAAUGGACUACGUUUUCUUACAUGCACAUAUACGAUAAAAAUCAGGAAAAUAUGAAGGUGAUUUACAUCUACAAAACCUAUUUAAUCUUUGCUUUAGUUUUGAUAAUUUCUUCUUGGUCUUUCUAUGCUAACAGUGAAAUACACUAUUGAAAAUCAAUUUUUUAUAUUAUUUAUCGAAAGGAAACCCAACGUUUUUGUUUCUUUUGAAUUUUUUUUACAAACUAUCGUCAAAAAGGGAAAAAAGAAUAGAUUACCUAUGAUUUGACUCGAAAAGGAGUGUUUUUGGCUUUCAGGCCACCGUGUGUGGCCGCGCCGAUGGUAGCGCAUGGGGCGCGUGCGGUGGAUGCUCGUGGCGCCAAUGCCCGGAUGUUAAACCGGAAGAGAGGAGGUUUCAGAGUUUUUUCAUAAGGUUUUUUCUUUUAAAAGACUAAGUUCAAAUGUUUUUUUAAUAAAAAAUAACUUAUAUAAUGAUAUGAAAAUGACGUCGUUUUUACUUAAUUCAAUAAGUAUCAAAACGAUGUCGUUUAGGGCUAGGAUCCGCGUGUUGACCCGAUAACCCGGGGAGGAUCCACGCAUUUUUGAUAAAAGGGAAAUUUGCCCCUUUAGUCCUUCCGCAUUUUCAGCAUUUAUAAUUUCGUUCAAUUCAAAUUUUAUUUUAUUUUAAUUUGGCCCUGACCAUUUAUUUUUGUUUCAAUUUAGUCCUAACUGCUAUUAUAAAGCCUAUUUCGGGAACGACGUCGUUUUGGAAUUAGGGUCAAAUUGCCCAGUGAGUUCCUCAGAUUUUAGCGCGUAUUGUAAUUUGGUCCAAAAUUCAUUUUAUUAUUUUAAAAUUAACCCUAGAGUUUUAUUUAAAUUCAAUUUUAAUCCUUUAUAUAUAUAUUUAUAUAAUUUAUUUAUUUUAAAUAUUUUGUAUAUUAUUUAUUUUACUUUAAACCUUAUUUAUAUAAAAAAUAUUUAUUUUAUUUGUAUUAUUUAUUAUAUUAUAUAUAUUUUAUUGUAUAUUAUUUAUUAUAUUAUGUAUAAUUUUAAAAUUUGUAAAUUAUUAUUAAAUAUUACAUUUUUAUAUAUCAUUAUUAAAUAUUUAGUAUGUAAUAUUCUAAAAUUUACUAUAAAAUUUUGUUCCUAUUUAACAUAUUAUUAUUUUUAUAAAUAUACAUUAAGUUAUUAUAUCAUAUAGUAUAUUUUUAUAUAUAUUAACCAUUUUUAAAAAAAUUCUCCUUUAUUAUUUAUAUAUUGUUUUAAAUAUUUUUUUAAAUACCUCAGUUAUUUUUAAUUGUAUUUAGUUUUUAUCUUUAUUUUUUGACUUAUUUUUUAUAUGUUCAUAAUUUGUUUAUUAUUUUUGUAUCUUUUUUUGUAUUUAUUUAGUAUUGUUUUAGUAUGUUAAUUUUAUCUCAUAAAUUAUUUAUUAUUUUUUAUGUUAUUUAUUGUUUUUAUAUAUUUGCAUGAAAAUUAAUUAUUUAUGUUGUUAUUUUAGUUAUAUUUGCAUGAAAUAUUAUUGUAUAUAUAUUAUGUAAUUUAUAUUGUUAUAUUCAUUGUUUUCUAUGUUGUAUUUUGCAUGAAAUGUUAAUGUAUGUAUAUUUAUGUUAUUUAUGAUUAUAUCUGCAUGAAAUGUUAAUGUAUAUUAUGUAAUUCAUGUCGUUAUUUAUCAUUUUCUAUAUUAUAUUUGCAUGAAAUGUUAAAGUAUGUAUCAUGUAGUUUAUAUUAUUUAGUAUUGAUAUCUUGUAAUAUGUUAAAUGCAUCAUUGUUUUAAAAAAAUUAUAUUUCAUUUAAUCCAAAAGAAUUUUAAAAAUGAUGCAAUGUUUUCGUAUUUAGGAAUUCGGGAAGUAGUGCCCUAACAUGCUAGGUUGCGAUUUCCCGUUUGUCUAAAUGUCUAAAGUAUCCUUCUAAAUAGAUUUUGUAAAUCACGAGAUGAUUUCAGUUACGAAAGUUUAAGAAUAUCGUGUCCAAUCAUGCUGGAUGUGAUGUUUGUACUUUUUUGGAGUGAAGGAAUCUCGAUUUUCAACUCAAAUUAUUCCGGUUUUAAAAAGGGAUCCUAUUUUUAAAUUCUUUCAAACUUUUGACAUUAAGACAAAAAACUAUUCAAUUUGGUACCAAUUUUGGGCGUUGCGAGGGUGCUAAUCCUUCCUCGUACGUAACCGACUCCCGAACCUGUUUUCUCACAUUUUCGUAGAACAAAAUGUUUUAUAAGGUGAUCCAAUCACACCUAAAAAGGUAGGUGGUGACUCCCGUUUUCAAAAUCUCCCUUUAAAAAUGGUUUCGACACCUAUUAUGUGUAUUUCUUAAGUUUAUAUCUUAUUAUGUAUUCUUGCUAUCCUUUCAUAUUUUAUAUAUUAUUAAAUUUUCCUUUAUUGUAUAUAUUUUAAAAAAUGUUUUUAACACUUUGUAUGUUAUUUGGUCUAAAAAUCUUCAUUCUAUAAUACAUAUUUUAAUGAUUACAUAUAUAUCUCUAGUUUGUUUUUACAAAUAGUUUCAAAUUCAUCAAUUCAUCAAUUCAUAUAUUAUAUGUGUUCAUCAUUAUUUUAAAUUUGUCUUAUACCAUAGUGUUUUUUUAAAGUUUCAUUUUGUUUUGUAUAUUUUGUAUUGAUUGUAUUAUAUUAGGCUAUAUAUAUUAUUGUUGUGCUAUUUUUUCCGUUUUUUCAUUGUUACCUCAAUUGUUCUCCAUACCUGCUUAGAAAGUUGGUUUUUUUUAGGUUAGUUAUAUCUAAUUAUUUGUUUUGGUAGUUGAUUAAAUAAGUUAUAUUAUCUUCAUUCAUCAAUUAUUGUAUUUUAUGCAUGCAUGUUAUCCUAUGUUUUCAAUUUUUCUGUUGGUUUACAAAUGUUGCUUUAUAAUUUCCAACUCUUUAAAAUCAACCAUUCCAUUAUAUUUCAAAUAAAAUUAAUAUGUUUUGAGUUUACAAAUAUAUUUUAAAAAUCCUAAAAUAAAGGCAAUGUUCAGUAUUUAGAAAUUCGAGAAAUCGUGCCCUACUAUGCUGGGUUUUGAUUUUUCGUUGGACUAAAUAUUUUGAUACCCUUUUGAAAUUUUUGACCUAAGAGCUUUUGGAAAACUCAACCGUGUUCUCAAAAGUAUAAAGGAUCAUGUCCUAUCGUGCUGGAUGUGAUGCUUUAUACCUUUGAAACGAGAAAGUUUUGACGACCAACUUAAACCACUUAAAUGUUUUAAAAGGAACUAUAUUUCAAUUUUUUUUUGAAAAAAACCCUAGACAUAAAGACAGCAAUUAAUCAAUCUGGUACCAGUUUUUGGGCGUAGUGAGGGUGCUAACCCUUCCUCAUACGUAACCGGCUCCCGAACCCAUUUUUAAAUUUAUGUGGACCAAAAUUGAUUUAAAUGAAACAAAAUAUUUUAUUAGGUGAUCCAAUCACACCUAAACAAAAAGAUUGGUGGCGACUUCACAUUUUGUUUAAAAGUUGAUUUCUGUUUUUUUAAAUAAAAAUAUGGUUUCGAUGGCUUGGCGACUCCACUGUGAUUAAACAAUAGAGUCAGGCCACAAAAUUGAUUAUUUUCUGACCUUUUGUUUAAAUUGGAAAUUUCAUUUGAAAAUCAUGAUUUUUUGUUGCCUUUGUUUGUAUGAUUGUUGCGGUCCAAGUCUUGUAGAAUAAUAUUGCAUUGCAUUGCAUUGCAUGACCGUUGCGGUUAUACCUUUAAGUGGGAGUGAGAAGCUAUGCCUUCGUGAGGUUUUCACCUUCGUAUGGGCUAGUGGAUUGCUUCUGGGAUACAUCCGUACCUAUGAUUUUGUGAGAUUUCCAUCUCUGCAUGGUCAUAGGGAAAUGUAUUCCCCUGAACCGAACUUGAUCCGUAUGAGCCUAUAAUGGGUGAGGAUUGAGAAAUCUACUGGUUUAGGUACCUUUACUUUAGAACCAAUCCACAUAUAGUGAACCCUAAGAGCCUUCUUUAGGUGGAGCUAGGUUAAACUUUAGUAGUUGCCCAUAUAUGUGCUUUGAUUAUCUUUAUCUUGCUUGUAUUUUAUUACUUAUUUUAGAUACUGACGUAUGGUGUUUUGUUUUGAUUUUGUUUUGCAUAACAUUGCAUAUUAAAGGAGGUGUCGGUUCGUGUUCGAUUACUAAGUUAGAAGAUUUAACAUGGAGAAUGAAUUUCUUGAUAAAGUUGAGGAUAAUGAGGCCGUCCGUGCAUGGUCAGCGAAGUAACAAUCAGAGAAAGGGGAUAGCCUGGCAGAAGGAUAUACAUCAGAGUUUUAGAAAUUCGCUCGCAUCAAUGUAAUGCAGAAUAAGUUGCUAGAGUUGAGAGAUAUAUCGGCUCGUUGGGAUAAGGGAACCAAAUAGUUGUUCUAUCAGAGCUAUGGUGAUAUACCUUACUUGCUCAAUAUUAAGGUGGACAUGCAUCUGUUCCGAGUUAUGGCUCAAUUUUGGAAUUCUUCCUACAAUUGUUUCACUUUUGGGGAAGUGGAUUUGGUGCCUACCGUGGAGGAAUAUACUAGCCUGCUGAGGUGUCCAAAAGUUCAAGUCAAAAAAGCUUAUGCUAAGGUUUUUAAUGAUCCAACUUUUGCGAAAAAAAUGAUGAAUAUUUCGGGGAUGAGCGAGCCUUGGGUCACUGUUCGAAUUUAACAAAAAGGGGAUAGUAAAUGUAUUCCUUGGGAGAAUUUAAGAGAUUUGGUUUUAACACUUCUAGAUGAAAGGAAGAGGACCGACAUCUUCGCCUUAAGCAUCUAUGGAUUGGUGAUUUUUCCUAAGGCUUUAAGGCAUGUGGAUGAAGCAGUCACUGACUUAUUCGAUCAUCUUGAGAAAGGAAUCACACCUGUACCUGCAAUACUGACUGAAACGUUCAGAUCCUUGAGCAUGUGUCGGAGGACAGGUGAGAGUCGAUUUAUUGGAUGUGCACAGCUGUUGAUGGUGUGGUUUCAUGGGCAUUUUUGGAAAGUAAACAAGGUUUCUUAUCGGGUUUUCUCUGAAAGUUAUUUCCCAUUAAAAGAAGAGACAGCUAUGCAAAGGAGAGACGAUAUUUCAGAGGAGAAAUGGAUGGAAAUUCUUCAAAAUCUCAAGGAGGAGGAUAUAGAGUGGAGAGCUUUUUGGAUGGUUGCUGAUGAGAUCCUGUAUCGAUGUGGGAACUUUGAUUGGGUACCAUUGUCAGGAAUUUGGGGAGCUACUGGAUAUACUCCUUUGCUUACAUUAAGGCAAUAUAAAUUGAGGCAGUUUAUACCCACUACUUCUGGGCUUGCUUAGUGCGAAUUCCCAUAUAAAGGUGACCAUUAUAAGAAGAAAGUUUGGGAAAUAUCUGAUGCUUGGAAGCAAACUCGUUGGAUGAAGAGGUUGGCUGUCGGUUCUAUGACAACAGCUGAGUACAUUGGAUGGUUUAGGAAAAGGGUCAAUGAUAAUAUUCCUAGACCAAGCUUAGAAGACACCCGACCAAUGGAGGAACAAUUACAAGUUGCCCCGUCAGAGUUGGAAAUUAUAAAGCAAGACUUUGAGAAAAAGAGUUCUGAGCUUGGGAAAAGGAUCAAGCAGUUGGAAGAAGAGAAAAUGCACCUGAAAUAAGAUGUGAAAGUUUAGAAGUCAGAGGUAGACAAGUUACGGAAAAGGAAGAUUGAAGUGGAGGAGGAUUUGGAAAGUUUGAAGACAGAUUAUAAGAAGCUACGCCUGUCGAUGAGGACUGCUGGGUUAGGUAAAAAUUCAGAGCAGUGGCGUCAGAAAGUUUGAGAAGAAAAAACUAAAGUAGAUCAGUAGAAGGAGGUUCCAGGAGGCUCAAGCUCGAAACGAAGCCUUGGAGAAAAGUCUGUCAGAGAGUAAAAAUGAACAAGAUGAAUUAAGGGCUAGAGUAGCAGAACUUGAGAGAUCUCUAUGUCUGUACCGAAAUUGUAAUUCCCUGAUGGAGUUGAGAGCAAGCUUAAGCAAGAUCAUAGAGAUGGAAGGGAAAAUAGAAGAACUAGAGACGGCAUUGCAAAGUUGUGAAAUGAGGAUCGAGUUCUUGGAAGCAAAUAAAGAACAACGGAAGGGACAGCUUCAUCACUCUCAAGACCAAGUUAGAAGCAGGGGUUACAUCAUGGGAGAAGCUGUAACACAAAUUCGAGAAGUAGCUAAUUACUUGCAGACUUUAGAGGUACAAGCAGACAUAUUAAGUGUGAAGUAUGAGUUGCAAUCAGAUAGGGGACAAGAACUAGCUUCGUUGCUUAGGAAAAUCAAGGCUCUGAGCUUUAGGGCAAAGUCUUAUUUGCAACUCAGUUUUAUGUAAAUAAUUUUAUUUUCUAGUCAAGUUUUCUAAAUGGAAUUGAAUCAGAAUUGAUGCCUCCUUUGCAUUCAUGCAUUUGCAUUACAUUACAUCAUAUGCAUUAAAUGCUAUAACAAGAUUUUAAUUAAUUUAAAAUUAUUUUAGUAAUCUGGAAACCAACAAAAACACACCAAAUAUGCAUCCCUACGGUACAAGGAAAAAAACUAAGUCAAUCGACAAAAGACUGGAAAAGUUAGAGCAAAUGCAAAAAGAUAUGCAAGAACAAAUGCAGUCACAGAUGCAAGAGCAGCUAGCUAAGAUUCAGCAAGAGAUGAAAGAUCAAAUGAUGGAGUCCCAAAGAGAGAUGAUGAGUCAAUUGUCCCAAUUGCUGAUAGGAAGAAUGGAUAAGGGAAAAGGUCCUAUAGAUAAUGUUGGGGAAAAUAAUGAAGACCCUCAAUAUCCUCCUGGCUUUACUCCAACACAUGUACAGACACAACCUAAGACCAAUUUGCAAAAACCAUCUGUUACAAUCAGGCCUUAGCAAUUUUAGGCUGGAGUGUCAGUACCAAUGAAUUUCCAAGCUAGUUCAGGGUUUAAUCCUGGUAACAACUCAAAUAAUCCAAUGGUCCCUGAUUUGGAUGAAGUUGUGAAGGAAGAAAAAGUAAGGGCAGAAUCACAGAAGCAAUUGGAGGAACGGUGUAAAUGGCUAGAGGAAAAGGUCAGGGCAAUGGAAGGUGUUGAUAGACAUCCUGGAAUUGAUGCAAAAGAUUUAAGUUAUGUCCCAGAUUUAGUACUUCCAUAUAAGUUCAAGAUGCCAAAAUUCGAGAAGUAUAAUGGAACUAGCUGUCCUGAAGCUCAUAUUACCAUGUUUUGCAGAAGAAUGACUGGGUACGUUAAUAACGAUCAAUUGUUGAUUCAUUGCUUCUAGGACAGUUUGGUGGGAAUAGCUGCUAAAUGGUACAAUCAGUUGAGUCGAAACAGAAUUAGUUCAUGGAGAGAUUUGGCACAAGCAUUCAUGAAGCAGUAUAGCCAUGUGACAGAUAUGACUCUUGAUAGAAUUACUCUGCAGAAUAUAGAAAAGAAACCAAACGAAAGUUUUAAGCAGUAUGUGCAGAGAUGGAAGGAAAUGGUUAUCCAAGUUCAACCACCACUCUUGGAGAAGGAAACUACAAUGCUCUUUAUUAAUACCUUAAAAGCUCCGUUCAUAAAUCACAUGUUAGGAAGUGCCACAAGGAGUUUUGCAGAUGUGGUCAUGAUAGGAGAAAUGAUUGAGAAUGCUAUAAGAAAUGGAAGGAUAGAUGCAGGAGAAAGUGCUAAAAGGUCUGCUCCGCGGAAAAAGAAAAAUGAGGUGAACAAUGCAAACAUGAGGUAUUCAAAAUCUGUUAUUGUAAGUCAACCAAAAGUGAUAACUGCUGGUCAGGGCUUAUCAAGGCAGGAAUCUAGAGCAAAGCAAAAUAAUGAGAAACUUCAAUUUACUCCAAUCCCUAUGACAUAUAAAGAAUUAUAUCAAAGUUUGUUUGACGCACAUGUGGUGGCACCUUUUUAUCUAAAGCCAUUACAACCUUCAUUCCCUAAAUGGUACGAUGCCAAUGCUUAAUAUGAGUAUCAUGCAGGGAUCGUAGGGCAUUCGAUAGAAAAUUGCACUACUUUUAAGAAGCUGGUUGAGAGAUUUAUUCAGAUAGGUAUUGUGAAGUUCGAUAAUGUGCCCAGUACAGAAAAUCUGCUACCUAAUCAUACUGAUAGUGGGGUAAAUACAAUAGAUAGAGGUAUGGGAAAAAGAACCAAGGUGGAUGUUUCAGAAGUAAAAACUCUUUUGAAAUGGGUCUGGAAGGAGAUGGCAAGAAGGGGGUUAGUUACUUCGAAUUCAGAAGAAAAUGAUGAUAAGAUAGAGAAUUAUUGUGAGUUCCAUCAUGAAGAGGGUCAUGGAAUUCAGGAAUGAGAAGAGUUCAGAGCUGCUAUCCAAGGCCUGAUGGAUAACAAGGAGAUAUAAUUUUAUGAAGAGGUUAAGGAGGAAAGUUAUAUAUGUGCGUCGAAAUCCACAAUGAACGUCCCAAAAGUCAAUCGUCCUGUGGUCAUUAUUUCACGUCCUAAGAAUGAAGCAGGAAUUCAGAUAACACCGAAGAUCAUAAUUUAGAAGCCAGCAGUUUUCUCCUACAAGGAUAGAAAAAAGGUCAUUGGAAUUAUGAUUGUAGUGUGACAGACCCGGGAAAAGAGAGUUCAGUCAGCCUGUUUAAGGAGGAUCAAAAUAUAGGUUUUCACACGCGCAGUAGAAGACAAUAUGAUUUGAUAAGUGCCCGAACAGAGCCUGUAAAAGGAAAAAAUUUGACGGUCGAACAAAAAAGGGGAAAAGCAGUUGAACCUAAGGUCCUGUUAAUGAACCGAUGAAAGAAGAAGAAGCUAAGGAAUUCCUGAAAUUUCUGAAGCAUAGUGAGUACAAUGUGGUGGAACAGUUACAUAAACAACCAGCCCGCAUAUCUAUGUUAGCUUUGCUUCUUAACUCAAAAGUACAUCGAAGUGCAUUGAUGAAAGUGCUAAACGAGACAUAUGUAACCAAUGAUAUUUCUGUCAACAAGUUGGACCAGUUGGUGAAUAAUAUAAGUGCUGAUAACUUCAUCUUCUUCAAUGAUGAUGAGAUACCACCAGGACGAAUGGGAUCUAAAAAACCUUUGCAUAUAACUACCAAAUGUAAAGGAUAUACAUUGUCAGGGGUUCUGGUUGACAAUGGGUCGGCAUUGAAUGUAUUGCCCUUGUCCACGUUAAAUAGGUUACCUGUGGAUAGCUUACAUAUGAAGGGAUGUCAAAAUAUAGUGUGAGCAUUUAACGGCACGGAAAGGAGAGUUAUGGGAAGAAUAGAAAUACCUUUGCUGAUUGGCCCAACUAUAUAUGAAGUAGAUUUCUUAGUAAUGGAUAUUAAGCCCUCUUACAACUGCUUGUUGGGGAGACCUUGGAUACAUUCGGCAGGGGCAGUGCCUUCAUCAUUACAUCAGAAGCUAAAGCUAGUAUCUAAAGGAUGGUUGGUAACGAUAAAUGCUGAAGAGGAUAUUAUUGCGGCUGUAAGCAGUGAUGUGCCGUAUUUAGAGAUAGAUGAGGAAGCCAUUGAGUGUUCUUUUCGAUCUUUGGAGUUUGUAAAUGCAACAUUCAUCACUGAGGGAAGUAGAAUUCUAGAGCUGAAAAUGUCUAAAACUAUGAUGAUGGGUUUACAGUUGAUGGUAGACGUGGAGCUUUACCAGGAAAGGGAUUUGGGAGAUGUCUCCAUGGAAGAAUUGAGGUUCUGAUGUUGAAGGACAAGCAUAAUCGCUUUGGUUUGGGGUUCAAUCCAGAUGCGAGACAAAGGAAAAGGGAAUUGGAAAGAAGGCAGGAAAGAAGAAGAGCACGUGUGAGUGGUGGAGAAAUUAAGUGGGAACCCAUGAUAAUUCCUUACAUUUCCAGGACUUUUGUAUCAGGAGGGAUUAUUUAUCCUGAAUGAGGGAUGCCAGAGAAAGAAAACGUGGAAGGAGAAUUGGAAAAUGUGCACAUCAAUACCAUAUUUGAAGAGACAAUUGAUGACGGGAUUUCAUCAGAUAUUCGUCCAUAUGAGCCUGGGAGUGUUCUAGACAAUUGGACUGCAGAAGACCUUCCUGUAGAUUUUAGAGCUCACUCAGAGUAAUGUUCAAAACAAACUUAUUGUUUUAAGCCUAAAGGCAAUAAAGAUUUCUUUAUGAAAUAGGCUCAUGUUCAAAUAUCAUUAUUUCAAUGAAUUACAUUUUUGCUAUCAUUUUGAGCAGAUAACCUUUCAAUCUUUUCACAAAGCAAUUGUUUUAUCCUUUUUAUUUAAAUAAUUAUCCUGAUUCUUUUUUGGACUUUCUCUUAUUAUUCUUUUAUUCAUAAACAUACCAUAUAAAACAAUAAUUAUCAAAUUCAUUCAUUCUUUGUAUAUUUUUGUACCUAUAAUAGCUCUUUGGAUAUCAAUAUCAUGAGUGACAUUGUUACUGACUCAGAAUCACUAUUUGAGCAAGACAUGUGUUUAGAGGGAUCUCAGGACUUUGAAGAUGACAGAGACUGUAAUUCAUCUCCGGACUUUGUAAGGAUGGUAGAACAAGAGGAAAAGUAAAUUUCACCUCAUAAAGUAGUAGACAUGGUGACUCUAGAAGAGGGAAAAGUUAUAAAAAUUGGAACAUGCAUAACUGAAGAAACAAAGCGAGACCUUGUUUGUAACACCCCUAGCCCGAGUCCGAUCGGUGAUUUAGGCUAUGAGGUAUUACCGAGCCAAACAAUUAAAUUUUUUUUUUGUCCAUAUAAUCAAUCAACAAAGACAGAAAUUAAGCUGAGUACAUACUGAUCUUUAAGUUAUAUAAAUGCCAUUUUCAUAUGGCUAAAAUAUUUACAAUACAAAACAUAACCGUCACUGGCCUAACCUAUACAUGCCAUACCAAGGCCAAAAUAUAACUGUACCAAAAAGAUCGAUAGUAUGAUGAACUGCUGAUGAUCCCCGAGUCGGUGGCCAAAAUUGACAAUCUAUAAAACAAAGAAAUAAAAUAAAACGGAGUAAGCUUUCGAGGCUUAGUAAGUUUUAAGUGUUUCAAACAAUUAAAACGUAUCAUUUAAAAUCUAACAUUAAGUAUCACAAGAACCCAAAUUUAAUUUGUAAAUUACUUGGCCAAAAACUCACAAGUACAUUAAUUAUAACCUAUUGGCCGAAUAUAUAUAUACAUGAAUACACAAGAAAAUUCUCAGUACAUAUUUCACUAUACUAUAUGGUUCAUAAAAUUUCUUUAAGAAACAUGCUUUUACAAUGACAUACAUUGACCAAAUAAGUCAUUCUCUUAUUCAUAAAUACGGUAUUCAUUCACAUACAUAUACACACUCACAUAUAUAUAUAUACCAUUCUUUGAUACUAAUAAUUCAUUUUGAAGUCAAUUCACUUAUGAGUACGUAAUACGUACCUUAGCAGGUAUAACAUAUAUAAUACUUACUUGCACGGAUAUUCAAUGUCGUAAUCAUACUUAACUUACUGACACCGGUCCUAUCAAGUCUUAGGACUCGAAACACAUAUCUAGCACAGCCUGCAGGUUUUUAACCCGGAUGUCAUUCCAGCACAAAGCCUGCGGGUCUUUAAGCCCGGAUACAAUUCCAGCACGAAGCCUGCGGGUCUUUAAGCCCGGAUACAAUUCGGGUCUUUAAGCCCGGAUACAAUUCCAGCACGAAGCUUGUGGGUCUUUAAGCCCAGAUACAAUUCCACAUCAAAAAACAUGGUUUUUUAUCGUAUUCUAACACAUUUCAUAAAACAUUUCACAUUAUUAGUAGCCAUUGGCUACAUUUGGACAUGAGCUUCUUAUGAACACCAUUAUUUCAUUUCAGCUUAAAAUCAUGCAUGAAUAUCACACGUACCUUUCAUCAAUCAAGCUUAACCCUAAUUUACCAUUCAACUUAAUUCAAAUAGAACCAAAAAGAUCAAAAUUCAUGUAGUAUAUAUAUGUCAAGGCAUUAUAAAUUUUAUACUAAAGGUGAUUACUCAAAACUUACCUUGUAUCUUUCUGAACAAAUUUCGGGUUGGUUAUUCCGCGACUUUAGCUUUUCCCUUAUCCGAGGUUGCCCCUCUAUGCUCUUGAGCUUUAAUUCAAUAAAUUUUAAACUAAUCAUUAAUCAAUUAUUCAAGUAUUACUUUCAGAAUAUAAUACAUAUAUAUUCGACUUUCACACAUACAGAUUAUAGUAAGCUUAUAAGAAAUCAAUAAGCAAUUCAUUAGCAAAAUUUUUCUUUCAUCAAUGUUUACUAUAUAAUCACAAUUUUACUAUAAGCUGAAUUCCUGAGCAACAGUCAUUAAAUUAAUUAUAACUAGAGCUACGAAACUCCAAAUCAGUUUCCGUAAAUUUUCCUUGAAAAUAGACUCAUUUAUAUUUUAUCCAUAAAAUUUUCAUAAUUUUUAGUCUAGCCAAUCAAUACCAUAUUUUUCAUAAAGUUUCCCUUGUUUCACUGUUUGACAAAUCUGACCAUUCUUCACUACGAAAUAAAUUUCUCAUUAUACAGAAAUAAAAUAUGUUGUUGUUUAUUUAAUUUGAAACUAGACUCACUAAGGAGUCUAAGCAUAUAAAAUUUAUUCUAUGACCAUUUUUAUACAUUUUAUAAUGAUUUUAUAAAAACAGAACAGGGCAUCUAGAAGUCAUUUUGACUUUGUCCCACAUUACUUCAAAUAUUUUAUGAUCGGUAAUUCUUUUACUUUUACGGUUUCUAUUAUAGAAAACUAGACUCAUCAAGCUUUAAUUAAAUAAUUUAUUCAGCUUCUAAUUCAAUUCCUACAAUUUAUGGUGAUUUUCGAAAAUCACCUUACUGCUGCUGUCCCAAGUAGAUUAUUACCAAUUCACUCUUUCACACAUUCUUUGUAUACAUAUUAUUUAAGCAUGUAUCUCACCAAUCAAUUUCAUCAUAUAUAUAUCUAUAAAUUUACUUAUACAUAAUAUCAAUACCACAUUGUGCUCAAAUCAUUUUUCAAGUUCAAUUUCACCAAGCUUCAACCUAACUUAACCUAUAAUAGUUCAUAACACAUUUAAAGCACAUACCUUACUAAAUUUUAUCAUAGUCCUCAAUCAGCCAUAGUACAUUCGGCCAUAGCAUAGACACAAAUACAUUUAACUUGAUUUCUUCAUGAAAAAUUAAGGCUAUAACCGAAUAGUGUUUAACCAUUUAAACUACAAAACACAAUUUAUAACUUCAAUUUUACAAGCUUAUAUCAUAAGAGUUUCUCCAUUAAAAUUUUCAAUGUAUAUUCAGCUAUAACACAAACACUUAAUCUUUACAAUUACAAAUUCAAAAACUUAACAUACUUUUAUAAUCUCAACCAAAUAGAGUACUUUUAUUGAUUCACAACAAAACAUCAACAUAACAUUUCUAAAUGAAAAAUCCUCUCAUGACCGAUUGCUCAUAUAGCUACCAAAAUGAAAAUUUGCACAUGGGUUAUGGAGGAAUUAAGAAACUAUCCUAAAACACACAAGAAAUUUCUAUCAAAACACUUCAAACAUACCUUAAUCAAGGCUAGGAAGGGGUAGCCGAAUGUUUGUUUUCCCCCCUUCUCUUCUUGAAAUUUUCGGCCAAAGAAAUCAAAGGAUGAACCAACUUUGGUUUCUCCUCCCCACUAAGCCAUUAUUCUUUUAUUUUUAUUCUUUAAUUCAUUUAGUUUAAAUUAAUGUUAAUAUAAUAUACAUAUAAUAUAUAUGAAUCAACUACAUGGCCAGCCACUAAAGAAAAAUGGAUAAUUUGACAUGCAAGUCCAUUUUUUUUAACAUGCAUUAGUAGACCAUAUUUAAAAUUACCUGUCACAUUUCACAAUUGUCUCACAUAAGUCCUAUUUAAUAAAUUUUACAUACAAUUGACAAAAUUAAAGCAAGAAACUUUCACACAUGUAGGUUCACAUACAAUAAGCAUAAGAUAUAACGGUUAAUUAUUUUUGUGACUCGAUUUUAUGGUCCCGAAACCACUUUCCAACUAGGGUCAAAAAUAGGGUUGUCACAUUGUUGGGUUGCUUUUGGAAUGCAAAAAUGUUUUUGCAUGGUCAUACCAACAUAUGCCUAGCUUAAGCACUGAUAUUAUAAUACAUCGCUUUCCCAUAAAAGAAGAUUGCAAGUCGGUGCAAAAGAAACUUCGAAGAAUGAGGCCAGCUAUUGUUUUAAAGAUAAGGGAGGAAGUCAAAAAGCAAUUUGAUGCUGGAUUCCUUCAGGUGAUCAAGUACUCAGGAUGGGUAGGCAACGUUGUGUCUGUUCCCAAGAAAGACGAAAAGGUGUGAAUGUGUAUGGAUUAUAGAGAUCUAAAUAAGGCUAGCCCAAAGGACAAUUUCCCCUUGCCUCACUUUGAUACACUAGUGGAUAAUACGGCUUCUUACUCGUUGUUUUCCUUCAUGGAUGGCUUCUUGGGGUACAAUUAGAUAAAGAUGCAUCCUAAAGACAUGGGAAUGACUACUUUCAUAACCUUGUGGGGCACGUUUUGUUACAAGGUGAUGCCAUUUGGAUUAAAGAAUGCUGGAGCAACAUAUCAAAGAGUCAUGGUAACCUUAUUUCAUGAUAUGAUGCAUAAAGAAAUUGAAGUCUAUGUCGAUAAUAUGAUAGCCAAAUCACGUACUGAAAAGGAACACGUCUAAGUAUUGAGAAAGUUGUUCAUGAGAUUGAGAAAAUUUCAACUAAAGCUUAAUCCAACCAAGUGUACCUUUGGGGCUAGAUCUGGAAAGCUACUGGGCUUUGUAGUCAGUGAGAGAGGAAUUGAGAUUGACUCGGACAAAGUCCGGACUAUACAAGAGUUAUCUCCACCACGCACUCAAAAAGAGGUUCGUGGCUUCCUGGGAAGACUAAACUACAUUUCUUGGUAUUUCUCAAUUAACAGAGAAGUGUGACCCUAUAUUUCUUCUUCUUAAAAAGCAUAACCUAGGAGAAUGGGAUGAUGAGUGCCAGAGAGCUUUUGAUAAAGUUAAAAGAUAUUUGUCGAGUCCUCCAGUGUUAUCACCUCCAAGCUCAGACAGACCGUUGAUAUUGUAUUUAAAUCGUGUUUGAUAAUUCUAUGGGACGUGUGCUUGGUCAACAUGAUGAAUCAGGGAGAAAAGAAAGGGCAAUAUAUUACCUUAGUAAGAAAUUCACUGAGUGUGAAUUGAGAUAUUCGCCAAUUGAAAAAUUGUGUUAUGCUUUGGAUUGGACAGCUAGGAGGUUGAGGCAAUACAUGUUGUACCAUACGACUUGGUUAAUCUCAAAGUUGGAUCCUCUAAAGUAUAUGAUGGCAUCAAAUUCCUUGAAUGGAAGGAUGCUAGGUGGCAAAUUUUGCUUUUUGAAUUUGGUAUAAUCUACGUAAGUUAAAAAGUCGUAAAAGGGAGUGCAAUAGCAAAUUUUCUUGCCAGUCGAGCUUUAGAAGAUUAUGAGCCUUUGCAUUUUGAUUUCCCCAAUGCGGAGAUAGUGUAUGUGGCAGCUACUGAAGAGGACACUACAAAAGAUCACUCUUGGAAAUUAAAUUUUGAUGGAGCCUCAAACGCUGUGGGUAAUGGAAUUGGAGCAGUCUUGGUAUCUCUAGGUGGAGAUCAUUAUCUAUUUACUUGUAAAUUGGAUUUUGAUUGCACGAAUAAUAUGGCAGAGUAUGAAACAUUUAUCAUGGGACUUCGAGUAGCUAUAGAACAAAAGAUCAAGUCAUUAGAAGUAUAUGAAGAUUCUACGCUGGUAAUUUACCAACUUCGAGGUGAAUGAGAGACAAGAGAUUUUAAAUUAAUCAAUUACAAAAGGUUGGUGUUAGGGUUAGUUGAAGAGUUUAAUGAUAUUACCUUCAAUUAUCUCCCGCGUGAUGAAAAUCAGAUGGCAGAUGCUUUGGCUACUUUGGCUUCCAUGAUCAAAAUAAGCAGACAAGAAGACGUGAAACCUAUUUAGAUGAGUGUUUGUGAGGCCCCGUCUUACAGUUAUAAUAUAGAGGAAGAAGAGAGAGAUGAUCAUCCUUGGUAUUAGGAUAUAUUACAAUAUGUGAGAAAUCGUGAAUAUCCAGAUCAAGCCACGGAGAAUGACAAAAGGAUGUUGAGAAGGUUAGACUGUGAUUAUAUUUUAGAUGGGGAGAUCCUGUACAAAAGAAGAAAGGAUCAAGUGCUUUUGAGAUGUGUGGAUGCUGUGGAGGCCAAGAAAAUCUUGGAAGAACUGCACAAGGUGUUUGUGGAACACACGCUAAUGGGUUCACAAUGGCCAGACAAAUUAUGAGGUUUGGAUAUUAUUGGUCAACUAUGGAGGGAGACUGUAUCAAUUAUGCUAAGAAAUGUCACAAAUGUCAAAUUUAUGGUGAUAGGAUUCAUGUACCUCACUCGCCUUUGCAUGUUAUGACUUCUCCAUGGCCAUUUUCCACUUGGGGCAUGGAUGUCAUAGGACCAAUCUCACCGAAGGCGUCAAAUGGGCAUCGUUUUAUCUUUUUGGUCAUUGAUUAUUUUACUAAGUGGGCGGAGGCUGCUUCUUAUGCCAAUGUAACUAAAUCGGCAGUCAGCAGAUUUUUAAAGAAGGAAAUUAAAUGUCGAUAUGGGAUGCCUGAGAGGAUCAUAUCUGAUAAUGCAUUAAAUUUGAACAACAGCACAAUAGCAGAGGUCUACAGUCAGUUUAAGAUCAGAUACAAUAAUUCAUCACCAUAUCACCCAAAAAUGAAUGGGGCAAUGGAAGCAGCCAAAAAAAAUAUCAAGAAAUUAUAAAGAUUGGCAUGAGAAGUUGUCAUUCGCUCUCUACGCUUAUCGAACAUCCAUCAGAACUUCUACUAGGGCAACACCUUUCUCAUUGGUUUAUGGAAUAGAAGCAAUUCUACCCAUUGAAGUAGAGAUACCUUCACUCUGAGUUUUGUCAAAAUUGAAGUUAGAUGAAACAGAAUGGAUACAGUCUCGAUAUGAUCAGUUGAAUUUGAUUGAGGAAAAGAGGGUAAGGGCUAUUCAACAUGGUUAGAUGUAUCAAGAAAGAAUGAUGCUGGCUUAUGACAAAGAGGUUCGCCCAAGAGAAUUUCACGAGGGAGAUUUGGUUCUGAAAAAGAUUCUUCCUAUACAGAAGGAUUUCAGAAGAAAAUAGAUGCCAAAUUGGGAGGAGUCUUAUGUGGUGAAAAAAGCUUUCUUCGGAGGAGCAUUAAUCCUGGCUGAAAUAGAUGAAAAAACUUGUCUAAUCCAGUGAACUCGGAUUUAGUCAAAAAGUAUUAUACCUAAUGAGGGGAAGAAGCCAAAGUGAAAACUCGAAAAAAUGAGGGGAAGAAGCCAAAGUGAAAACCCACAAAGGGCGCUUUGAGACCUAAUAAAAAUGGAAAAGGGCCAAAGUGAAAACCCGCAAAGGGCACUUUGAGACUCAAAAAAAUAAAAAUAAAAAAGAGAAAAAAGAAAAAGGAGAGGCCAAGGUGAAAACCCGCAAAGGGUGCCUUAAGACCAAAGGGGGAUUUGAGUUGAAAGCCCGAAAAGGGAGGCUCAAAUGUUGAUCUAAAGUAGGAAGGCGAUGAUCUUACUAUACUUGAAUUAACAAGGAAGGGGGUAUGUUGCAUCUUGGGGCAUUGACAAAGUACUUCUGAGCUUCUAAACACUUGUUAAGUUUGAAUUGGUCUUUAAAAAGUUUGUACGGAGAAGCUUAGUUUCCGAUAUCAAGGGUACCUAGUCUUCAUUUUAUUUCCAAUAAAUUGAUUAUCUUUGAAUUAGCCUUUCUUUUUUGAGAUAUACAUUCUUAAAUCAAUGGCCAUUUUUAUUCCUUUGAUGAUUUAUUCACUUCAAGCUUAAAUUUAAUACCAUUCUUAUCCAUUAUUACGAUUUGAUUGCAAGCAUGUUGCAUUGAAGUAAUGAUGAAUGAACUAGUAAUGUUUUCAUAAUAGAAGUUUCGCAUAUUACUCUAGGAGUUUCUAGAUAAUACAAGAAUCCGAAACAGGACUAUUGCUUAGAACACACCAAGUUCUGGGCAUAUAUUUGAAUAAAUUACCUCUUUGGAUUUUUUUCUGUCCAAAUUAUGAUUGAACAAAAUGACAAGACAUGGCGUUAAUGAUGUAAUUUCAAAAAAUGAUUAAUAUAAAAAGGAAUUAUUCUCAAGAAAAGGGAAAUGAUACUUUGUAUCUUUACAAAUGUCAAACAUGAACAUCUAGCUAUAACACCUGAAGAGUGAGGUAGCAGAUCGAAUAAAGGAAAUUCAACUAUAAGUUGCAAUGUUUUUGUCUCAAAAAGAAUAGUGGAAGGGACAUUGGAAUUACAGUGGGGGCAAGUUUGCUGAGUAGAAAAUGAUUGUUUCUUUAGGAUACUCUAUCGAGAAGAUGGUUGAGCGAAUACAUCAGUGAUAGAAUAUUAAUGAACAACGAGUAAUGAUACCUUAAUUUUUAAAAUGGAAUCAUUCACAUUUCUACAUAUAUCAUUCAUAUCACAUUUAGUUAGGAGCGAUUCAUUUCAAUCAUAGCAUCCUAAUUACUUGGCAUAAACAUGCGCACAUAAAAUAGAGUCUACAGGACAUGUUCCCCAGAGGACAGUGUAGCGACAUUGAUGAAGUUAGCAGAUUGAAGAAUCUUAUCUCCAUGUAUUGGCAAUGGAGCAAGAUUUAAGCCACUAGCCUUAUCUCUCUGACGUAGCAAAAGAGCAGAUUGAAGAAUAAGUCUUAUCUUUCUGAGGUAGCAAGAAAGCAGACUGAAGAUUGAAGAUCUUAUCUCCCUAAAGUUACAGCGGAGUAGAUCGAAGAUGGUGAAUCUUAUCUCCAUGUAUCGGCAAUGGAGCAGAUUUUACCACCAGCCUUAUCUCUCUGAGGUAGCAAGAGAGCAGGUUGAAGAAUGAGUCUUAUCUUUCUGAGGUAGCAAAAAAGCAAACUAAAAAUUGAAGAUCUUAUCUCCCUGAAGUUGCAGUGGAGCAGAUCGAAGAUGGUGAAUUUUAUCUCCAUGUAUCGGCAAUGGAGCAGAUUUUACCAUCAGCCUUAUCUCUCUGAGGUAGCAAGAGAGCAGGUUGAAGAAUGAGUUUUAUCUUUCUAAGGUAGUAAGAAAGCAGACUGAAGAUUAAAGAUCUUAUCUCCCUAAAGUUGCAGCGGAGUAGAUCGAAAAUGGCGAAUCUUAUCUCCAUGUAUCGGCAAUGGAGCAGAUUUAAGCCACCAGCCUUAUCUAUCUGAGAUAGCAAGAGAGCAGGUUGAAGAAUUGAGUUUUAUCUUCCUAAGGUAGCAAGGAAGCAGACUAAAGAUUAAAGAUUUUAUCUCCUUAAGCAGUAGCAGAACAGAUUGAAAGGCGGAUCUUAUCUCCAUAUAUCGACAAUGGAGCAGAUUUUAGCCACUAGACUUAUCUUUUUGAGGAAGCAAGAAAGCAGAUUGGUAAUUGUAGUCUCAUCUUCCUGAAGUAGCAAGGAAGCAGACUGAUUGCUAUCUCCAUGAGAAAAAAAUAGAGCAAAUUUAAGCCACCAGCCUUAUCUCUCUAAGGUAGCAAGAGAGCAGGUUGAAGUUUGAAGUCUUAUCUUCUUGAAGUAGCAAGGAAGCAGACUGAAGAUUGAAGAUCUUAGACAGUUGUUGAGCAGAUUGAGGAUGGCGAAUCUUAUCUCCAUGUAUCGGCAAUGGAGCAGAUUUGGACCACCAAUACUAUUUCCCUAAAGUUAACCGGGCAAAAUUGGCCCUAUUUAAAGUUGUUGCUCUAUUCUUGUUACACAAUAAUGAGCAAAGAGGGGCAGCUGUAAUAAGCCCAUCUCGCCCGGGCCCAUAAAGCUAUCCAAAAAAAUAAAUAAAAUAAAUCAAAGAAAAAUUAAUAAAUUAAAAGUCCAAGUCUUUUUACAAAAAUAAAGGCUAACUAUUACGCCCAAAUUGCCUAGCCCGGUUGUUAAGAGUAACCCAAUUAACAAAACAAAUUCUAGCCUAUUUGAAAUAUGGCCCAAUCACAAGACUGGCCCAAAUGUUUAAAGUCUGGUUUCAGAGGCCGAAAACCUAGUCAUUCACCUCACGCCGCAGCUAGCAGUCGGUCUCCAGUACCACACGUGCGCCACUAGUUCCUCGCGCACGCCUCUGCUCGUGUCUUUGUACAACUACUCCUGCAAUGGAACACACGAGAGAAGGAGCUAACCGAAUUUACAGCAAAUGACAGCAAGAAAAUGUAAUUUUAUUUUUUAUUUACUCUGUAAAUCCGACUAUAAAAAGCCAUCGAAUGUACCUGCAAAUACUUACGAGCACUAAAUAUCAGAAAAAGCAUUUCGAAAGGAAAUUAUUAAAGGUGAUUUUCUGCUUUCUAGUUUCUUUAGUUCUCCAUCGAAUCAUCUCAUUUUCUUUUUUGAUUUUUCACUAUUGUAUUUAAAAAAUAAAAGAGAAAGAGAAAGGCGAG
Molecule: long non-coding RNA, 22650 nt
Filed under: Gossypium barbadense (sea-island cotton)
Lineage: Eukaryota; Viridiplantae; Streptophyta; Magnoliopsida; Malvales; Malvaceae
Description: long non-coding RNA (GBAR_LNC004612)
Source: RNAcentral